Molecule: ribosomal RNA, 781 nt
Filed under: Streptomyces sp.
Lineage: Bacteria; Bacillati; Actinomycetota; Actinomycetes; Kitasatosporales; Streptomycetaceae
Description: bacterial SSU rRNA
Rfam family: Bacterial small subunit ribosomal RNA
Source: RNAcentral
CGAUGAACCGCUUUCGGGCGGGGAUUAGUGGCGAACGGGUGAGUAACACGUGGGCAAUCUGCCCUGCACUCUGGGACAAGCCCUGGAAACGGGGUCUAAUACCGGAUAUGACCGUCUGCCGCAUGGUGGAUGGUGUAAAGCUCCGGCGGUGCAGGAUGAGCCCGCGGCCUAUCAGCUUGUUGGUGAGGUAGUGGCUCACCAAGGCGACGACGGGUAGCCGGCCUGAGAGGGCGACCGGCCACACUGGGACUGAGACACGGCCCAGACUCCUACGGGAGGCAGCAGUGGGGAAUAUUGCACAAUGGGCGAAAGCCUGAUGCAGCGACGCCGCGUGAGGGAUGACGGCCUUCGGGUUGUAAACCUCUUUCAGCAGGGAAGAAGCGAAAGUGACGGUACCUGCAGAAGAAGCGCCGGCUAACUACGUGCCAGCAGCCGCGGUAAUACGUAGGGCGCAAGCGUUGUCCGGAAUUAUUGGGCGUAAAGAGCUCGUAGGCGGCUUGUCACGUCGGUUGUGAAAGCCCGGGGCUUAACCCCGGGUCUGCAGUCGAUACGGGCAGGCUAGAGUUCGGUAGGGGAGAUCGGAAUUCCUGGUGUAGCGGUGAAAUGCGCAGAUAUCAGGAGGAACACCGGUGGCGAAGGCGGAUCUCUGGGCCGAUACUGACGCUGAGGAGCGAAAGCGUGGGGAGCGAACAGGAUUAGAUACCCUGGUAGUCCACGCCGUAAACGGUGGGCACUAGGUGUGGGCAACAUUCCACGUUGUCCGUGCCGCAGCUAACGCAUU